UUCCCUUCCCAUUAUGGAACCGCAGACAUUAGAGAUGGACGAAAAUCAAAUCCCUCACACCAAAAAGAUCGGACCCCCCUCCAUUUUUGAAAACUCGAACUAGCCGUCUCUCACUCCUCUCAUUAGGUAAAUGAGACACCUUCGUUUUCCGUUGAAAGAGACAGAACCCAUCCCUGAAAAACCUAGCAGCGGUUAAGAAAACAUAGGGUUGAUGCUUGGAUUCGAGGAGCUUUUCAUCACCAUUUUCUGGGUUUCAAUUUGGUUUUCGACCGAAGAUUAGAUAUGUUUGCUGCCGUACUGCUGAUCUGCUGAGCUUCAUCUUCGUUCUCUUAGCCUUUAUUUGGCAUUUAAGCAAUCAGUGAUCUCCCGUUCUCUGAUAAUGAAGACUUGUCCCAUUUAAUAGCUCAAAAAUGCAAAAUCUAACGAAGAACUAGCUAGUUUGCUGCUGAUGAACAGGUUGUCAUAGAGUAUGACAUCUGCAAACUAUGCCGAUGCCUUGUUUUAUUCAGUGAUGAAAUUGGCAUUGGAUUCUCCACAUGACUCACCUAUUGAAUUGGUCAAGAAUGUUUCUACCGCAGUUAAAAAAUGGAAAAAGCUUCUGAAAUAUUACUUGCCAAGCAUUGAUGAAGAGUAAUAUUGAAGUCUGAAGAAAUGUGCUUGGAAUCUGUGAAGGAGUAUUCUCCAUUAUUUGUACAGGAAAGUCAAGCGAUCAACCGAGUAGAAAUGAAAUUCCACAAUCAGCUGAUGCGAAGAAGACGCUAAACAUCAAUGCAAUUCAAGGAAUUGUGCCAUUAGGGUUAAGCCAAGUAUUGGUGAUGACUCCAAUGGCUCCGGCGAUGUCCACUGGUUCCGACGAAGAUUCCACCGGCUCAAUCAGGUGGAUCAUGGGCAGAUAGAGUAGAGGCGGAAAUUACUGAGACGAGGGAGAUGAGUAAGGCACAAUUGAGCCCUUAACAAGCUCAUGGAGUAAAAUUAUGGAAACAGUACCGGAGGAGGAGGGUUUAAACCUAAAUCGUGAGGGCAGGAGAAAAUGUCAAAUACAAUGGAUGAUAUCAAAGAUGAAAUUGUAUAUUGGAAAACAAUAGUGAUAUGCUAUGUUUUAGGAUCUAAUCCCCCACUGGCUGUAAUUGAUGGUUGCUUUUGGAGGAUAUGAGGAGGUUUGGGUAUUGAUAAAAUUGCACAAGUCAAUAGAGGAGUUUUUGUGGUACGAUUUCACACAACUGAAAGUAGAAUCAAAGUAAUUGAGGUUCCAGGGAUGCCCAAAUUUUCAAGUGAAGCCUGCACAAAAAAGGAAUAUAAGGUUUAUUUUAGUUCUUAUUGUAUAGAAGCUUGGUAUAUCAACAAAACUAAUUCCUAAUAUAGGGCAAAAUAAAA
Molecule: long non-coding RNA, 1374 nt
Organism: Nicotiana attenuata
Lineage: Eukaryota; Viridiplantae; Streptophyta; Magnoliopsida; Solanales; Solanaceae
Exons: 6
Source: RefSeq, a predicted model, not a curated record